This 253-nucleotide ribosomal RNA is filed under the name uncultured bacterium. Its description in RNAcentral is "partial 16S ribosomal RNA". It matches the Rfam family "Bacterial small subunit ribosomal RNA", at positions 524 to 776 of the family's 1533-position model. The record is from RNAcentral.
UACGAGUGCCCCGAGCGUUAUCCGGAAUCAUUGGGCGUAAAGGGUGUGUAGGUGGUUGUGUUAGUCAAUUGUUAAAACCCGGGGCUUAACCCCGGAAGUGCGAUUGAAACGGCACAACUAGAGGAUGGCAGGGAUGUAUGGAACUCAUGGAGUAGGGGUGAAAUCCGUUGAUAUCAUGGGGAACACCAGAAGCGAAGGCAGUGCAUUGGGCCACUCCUGACACUGAAGCCCGAAAGCGUGGGUAGCGAAUGGG